RNAcentral lists this unclassified non-coding RNA (204 nucleotides) under Hevea brasiliensis (rubber tree). The record is from RNAcentral. Lineage: Eukaryota; Viridiplantae; Streptophyta; Magnoliopsida; Malpighiales; Euphorbiaceae.
AGAGCCUUUAUUACUGACAGAUAGGAAUCUGUAAGACCAGUAUACUUUCCAACCAUGGCAAUUCGGACCGGUUCAUGCAACAUAUCACAGAUAUCAGCCCUAGAAGUCCACUCCUUUAAGCUAGGCUCCCUUGUAGAACCUUGAAGAUUCAGCACUCUCAAAAUUGCUUCGUGAGCCUUCUGAUCUCUUAAAAGUAAAGGAAUG